This 442-nucleotide ribosomal RNA is filed under the name uncultured bacterium. RNAcentral describes it as "SSU rRNA". It matches the Rfam family "Bacterial small subunit ribosomal RNA", at positions 26 to 518 of the family's 1533-position model. The record is from RNAcentral.
AGAACGAACGCUGGCGGCAGGCUUAACACAUGCAAGUCGAGCGCCCCGCAAGGGGAGCGGCAGACGGGUGAGUAACGCGUGGGAACAUACCCUCCGGUUCGGAAUAGCUCAGGGAAACUUGGAUUAAUACCGGAUACGGCCUAGCGGCGAAAGAUUCAUCGCCGGAGGAUUGGCCCGCGUUCGAUUAGCUAGUUGGUGAGGUAACGGCUCACCAAGGCGACGAUCGAUAGCUGGUCUGAGAGGAUGAUCAGCCACAUUGGGACUGAGACACGGCCCAAACUCCUACGGGAGGCAGCAGUUAGGAAUUUCCGCAAUGGGCGAAAGCCUGACGGAGCAACGCCGCGUGUGUGAUGAAGGCCUUCGGGUUGUAAAGCACUGUCGGAGGGAAGAAUGAAUGACGGUACCCUCCAAGAAGCCCGGCUAACUACGUGCCAGCAGCCGC